Molecule: ribosomal RNA, 433 nt
Filed under: uncultured bacterium
Lineage: Bacteria
Description: partial 16S ribosomal RNA
Rfam family: Bacterial small subunit ribosomal RNA
Source: RNAcentral
AGCGAACGCUGGCGGCAGGCCUAACACAUGCGGGUCGAACGAACUCUUCGGAGUUAGUGGCGGACGGGUGAGUAACACGUGGGAACGUGCCUUUUGGUUCGGAAUAACUCAGGGAAACUUGUGCUAAUACCGAAUGUGCCCUUCGGGGGAAAGAUUUAUCGCCAUUAGAGCGGCCCGCGUCUGAUUAGCUAGUUGGUGAGGUAACGGCUCACCAAGGCGACGAUCAGUAGCUGGUCUGAGAGGAUGACCAGCCACACUGGGACUGAGACACGGCCCAGACUCCUACGGGAGGCAGCAGUGGGGAAUCUUGCGCAAUGGGCGAAAGCCUGACGCAGCCAUGCCGCGUGAAUGAUGAAGGUCUUAGGAUUGUAAAAUUCUUUCACCGGGGACGAUAAUGACGGUACCCGGAGAAGAAGCCCCGGCUAACUUCGUG